Molecule: ribosomal RNA, 446 nt
Filed under: uncultured bacterium
Lineage: Bacteria
Description: partial 16S ribosomal RNA
Rfam family: Bacterial small subunit ribosomal RNA
Source: RNAcentral
CCUACGGGUGGCAGCAGUCGAGAAUCAUUCACAAUGGGGGAAACCCUGAUGGUGCGACGCCGCGUGGGGGAAUGAAGGUCUUCGGAUUGUAAACCCCUGUCAUGUGGGAGCAAAUUAAAAAGAUAGUACCACAAGAGGAAGAGACGGCUAACUCUGUGCCAGCAGCCGCGGUAAUACAGAGGUCUCAAGCGUUGUUCGGAAUCACUGGGCGUAAAGCGUGCGUAGGCUGUUUCGUAAGUCGUGUGUGAAAGGCGCGGGCUCAACCCGCGGACGGCACAUGAUACUGCGAGACUAGAGUAGUGGAGGGGGAACCGGAAUGCUCGGUGUAGCAGUGAAAUGCGUAGAUAUCGAGAGGAACACUCGUGGCGAAGGCGGGUUCCUGGACAUUAACUGACGCUGAGGCACGAAGGCCAGGGGAGCGAAAGGGAUUAGAUACCCGAGUAGUC